CUGUCUCUCUCCUUCAUCCCUGAUGAUGUGCAGCAGCCAGAGAUAAACCUCCUUAGUCUCUGUGCUCUGGAGGGGUCCAUCUGGCACCUGUCAGAAGUCCUACCCUCAUUUUUGGGGAUGGCACAAGAAGCAGAGUUAUCCCACAGCCCUGUGAUGGCAUUCCUUGGCUCAUUAACUCCUGACCAGCACCACAGUGCAGGAUUGAUGGUUUUCUAUAUCUGUGUAAAGGUAAUUGUCAAGGUUUUCUUGCCUGAUGUUCUACAAAGCAAAUCCUGAUAUGCACUGACCCAGAGGGAAUGCUGUGGGCAGGAUCAAAUCCCAGUAAUUUCUGCCUUUGACUUACCAAGAUGGACUGUAAGUACAAUUCCUUGCGUUCCCAUGGGCCAGAUGCUGCUCCUGGAGGUUCUGGGCAAAGGUUUUACUGUCCCUGUCAGUGGUUUCUGGGCAGACACACAUCUGUGCUGGGGCUAAGGCUGUGGGAUUUGGGGGCCCAGUCCUGAACCAGGGACUGCUUUAUUUGCUGCACACAACAUUUUCAGGGUACAGCUGCUGCUGCUGCUCUGGUAUCACCAGCUGGAGCACUGUGAUUCCCACAACACACAUUGCAGGGCCCUGUGGCUGUGGGAUGUGUCACAGGAUGGUUUGGGUUGGAACAGACCUUAAAGAUCAUCUCAUUCCACCCUGCCAUGGCAGGGACACCUCCCACUAUCCCAGGUUGCUCCAAACCCCAUCCAGCCUGGCCUUGAACUUCCAGACAUGAGGCAGCCACAGCUUCUCUGGACUAUGUGCUCAAGCACCUCCUCACCCUCACUGGGAAGAAUUUCUUCCUAAUAUCCAGUCUAAACCUACUCUCUGUCAGUCUGAAGCCAUUCCCCCUUGUUCUGUCACUAAUGUUCUUGUAAAUAAUCUCUCUUCCUCUCGUAGCUCCCUUCAAGGCUGGGGAGGGGUGAAGAAAUGCAAACUAUUGGAAAACGUGGUCAUAAAAUCUGCACCAAAUCAGGAAAGUGCCCCAUGGGGAGGAAGAUCAUUAGGAAGAAUGUGGAAAUUCUGGGCACCUUUCCAACAAGGAACAGGAGAGCAUCUGGACCAGGCAGUCUGGCCAAGAGCUGGAUGCCUACAGGAGAAAGGCAGGCAGGAUCAGCAACACCAGUGAGUUCACAGGCAAACAUGUGGCCCUAUAAAGUGCAUCCUAAAAUUCAUAAUGCCAUAAAACACGUGCCACCAGCCUGGAAGAGCUGCAGGACCCCAGCAGAGCUGCUGAGGUCUCACAGCAUCAGCCCUGGAGUCAUCAGAAUCACGGACCAACCCUUGAGGCUUUGCAGUGGGGAUCCAGGGGUUUCAAGUGCCAUCCCACACUGUUCUGAUGUCUUCAGUUUGGGGGAAAUAUUUGUUUUUGCCAUGGACAACCCCUUGGUUCAGCAGGUGCCACUUGUCAGCCAUAUCCAAGGAAGAACGUGGGCUUUGCACUCUUCAUUCCAAGGCAUGGAGGCCUUGAGAGGCACCCAGCAUCCUGGGAAAGUCCUGGCAAACAAACAGCACCAAAGGAAGGCUCCCUCUGAUCCCAGCUGGACUUUCCUUAGACCUGCUUUUCUCCAUGGAAGGUCCACAGCCUGGAACACCUUCCUGAGGAAAGUACUUCCAUCCCCAUACUUAAAAUACACCAGUCAGGCUUGUUUUAAUUCACAGAUAAAUCUCGAAAUCCCUGAGGAACUGUCUGGGGUGUGCAUUGAAGAGUCCUUGCUAUGA
Molecule: long non-coding RNA, 1746 nt
Organism: Parus major (Great Tit)
Lineage: Eukaryota; Metazoa; Chordata; Aves; Passeriformes; Paridae
Source: Ensembl